CUUUUGAAAACGAGAUUUACGACAACCUCACGUGUUACUCGUGCAGCCGGCGAUGAGGUUUGGUUAGGUUAGGUCAUAGGUUAGGUGUAUCUCAUACUUACUAAUCACGGAUAGCAGUUCUUUAUAUUUUAACAUUAUCGCCGCUGAAAAACGCCCCUCUGGAAAUAUGGAAGGAACUUCUGCGGCAAAUUUAAGUGACUCGGAGAGAGAGCAGCUGAUGCAGAACCUGAAGCAACAAAUAGCUGUCGCUAAUACCCAGGAGCUGCUAGUGAAAAUGACGGAAAAGUGCUUCAAAAAAUGCAUAGUCAAGCCGGGCACAUCACUGGAUAGCACGGAACAGAAAUGCUUAGCAAUGUGCAUGGACCGGUACAUUGACUCUUUCAAUCUUGUGUCGAGAGCGUAUGGUGAGCGAAUCCAAAGAGAGCGCAACAGGUUAUAGAUAGGAAAGUUCGAGGGAACUACGCUGUCACUUGUUACAAACAGCGUAACUUUAGCACCAUUAUCAAAGGAUACUAUAGUAUAUUGUACAUAUGCAUUUACUUUUGUAAAAGCAACAAAGAUAUAUCUACGUUACAAAUAUACGCGGAGAAAUCGCGAUGCUAGUCAGCACCCUUUGAAGAACAGAAGAAGGAAGAGACACACAAGCAACUCUUCAACAAUUCCCUUCGUUUCACAGAGUUUCUAAAAUUUCAUUUCGGAGGCUUUCGGUUUCAGACGGGCUUCCUGUCGCUC
Harpegnathos saltator (Jerdon's jumping ant) is the source of this 732-nucleotide RNA transcript. It is a transcript of the gene named mitochondrial import inner membrane translocase subunit Tim13, with no coding region annotated. NCBI's taxonomy places the organism in Eukaryota, Metazoa, Arthropoda, Insecta, Hymenoptera, Formicidae. The record is from RefSeq and is a predicted model, not a curated record. The transcript is spliced from 4 exons.